This 301-nucleotide ribosomal RNA is filed under the name uncultured bacterium. Its description in RNAcentral is "partial 16S ribosomal RNA". It matches the Rfam family "Bacterial small subunit ribosomal RNA", at positions 509 to 807 of the family's 1533-position model. The record is from RNAcentral.
CAGUCGCCGCGGUAAUACAGAGGGUGCAAGCGUUAAUCGGAGUUACUGGGCGUAAAGGGCGCGUAGGCGGUUUGGCAAGUUUGGUGUGAAAUCUUCGGGCUCAACUCGAAGUCUGCAUCGAAAACUGCCGGGCUUGAGUAUGGGAGGGGUGAGUGGAAUUUCCGGUGUAGCGGUGAAAUGCGUAGAUAUCGGAAGGAACACCUGUGGCGAAAGCGGCUCACUGGACCAUAACUGACGCUGAGGCGCGAAAGCUAGGGGAGCAAACAGGAUUAGAUACCCCGGUAGUCCCUGUCUCUUAUAC